Molecule: RNA transcript, 999 nt
Organism: Chenopodium quinoa (quinoa)
Lineage: Eukaryota; Viridiplantae; Streptophyta; Magnoliopsida; Caryophyllales; Amaranthaceae
Exons: 4
Source: RefSeq, a predicted model, not a curated record
UGAAAGAAACAAGAAGAAUUGAAACUCUAACAAGUGGUAUAAACACACAACUGGGCCAUUGUCUUUCCUUGAAGUGGAAUAUGAAAUGACUAGGGCGAAUGGGGGUGAACUUCCUUCAGAUGUUGUAUGGCUUGUUCAACAUACACACACAAAUGAGCAAGGAGUACUAGAAUGGGUUAAUGACAAACACUCUAAGGAAGUACAUGCACAACUCCAUCAAUUAGUACAAGAUAAGGAUAAAGAAACCGAGGAUGGUCAAGCUCGUCCUUAAACACAAGGUGAAAUGUUACUUCAUUGGCCCAAAGUCUGGUUACACACGAGGCAAAGGUAGUGGGUAUGGAGGGUCUUCCAAAGCAAGAUUACAGCAAGAACAGCAACAAAACUUGCGUAAACAACAAGAUCAGAUUGCUCAACUACAGUGUCAGCUAGAGGCAAGUAAGAAGGAGAUGGAAGAAUAUAAGUUGCAACAACAACGCACCAUUGAAGAUAUGGAGAAACGCCUUAUGAUGAUGAUAAAUGGACAAAGUGCUAAAACUAGAUUGGAUAUUAAUGGUGAUGAUGAUAUCACUCAUUUUGCGUGAGAAGCACAAAGAGAAAAAUCAUGAUUAAAAAACAGAGGAUUUUGUGUAUUAGCUAAGGAGCUUCCUGUCAUAUGCAUGUCAAACUAAUCUUUGACAACUUUUGCCAUCUUUUGGGGUUUUUGUAUCAUGUGACGGCUACAUAGUGACCACCUUUUGUGCAUACCUAACAGGCAUGGUAUAUUGGUAUCUAGAUUUUGACAAUAUUUUUUAUUGUCCAAGUAUUUUGAUUAUGCUAUAACCAUUUACUUCAGCAGUAUGCUAUGCAAGUGUAAGGUGCAAAUACUUACUAUCCUUAUGAAAAUAAUUUUACUUAAAAAUUUCGAUUUAAGUCAAUUUAUAAAUUACAUUUGAACUUAGUUAUAAUACUUUGUAAUCAGUACAUGAAAAUAUUAAAAAUUGUAUGUAUGGACGAUGUUAG